GACGAACGCUGGCGGCGUGCUUAACACAUGCAAGUCGAACGGAAAGGCCCUGCUUUUGUGGGGUGCUCGAGUGGCGAACGGGUGAGUAACACGUGAGUAACCUGCCCUUGACUUUGGGAUAACUUCAGGAAACUGGGGCUAAUACCGGAUAGGAGCUCCUGCUGCAUGGUGGGGGUUGGAAAGUUUCGGCGGUUGGGGAUGGACUCGCGGCUUAUCAGCUUGUUGGUGGGGUAGUGGCUUACCAAGGCUUUGACGGGUAGCCGGCCUGAGAGUGUGACCGGCCACAUUGGGACUGAGAUACGGCCCAGACUCCUACGGGAGGCAGCAGUGGGGAAUAUUGCACAAUGGGCGGAAGCCUGAUGCAGCAACGCCGCGUGCGGGAUUACGGCCUUCGGGUUGUAUACCGCUUUCGCCUGUGACGAAGCGUUAGUGACGGUAAUGGGUAUAGAAGCACCGGCUAACUACGUG
RNAcentral lists this ribosomal RNA (468 nucleotides) under uncultured bacterium. RNAcentral's name for it is "partial 16S ribosomal RNA". It matches the Rfam family "Bacterial small subunit ribosomal RNA", at positions 28 to 507 of the family's 1533-position model. The record is from RNAcentral.